UGCACUUGUUUUCCUGUUUUGUAUUUGGAGUUUUUUUAAGCUCCGAUGAAAUAUCGGAGCUUUCCGAUGCGGAACCUUCAGGGAGAAGUCUGGUUAUUUAUAGGUAUGGAGGUUUUAGUCGACUGCAGGUGCAUUUGCUUGAGUGAAAAUUAAUAUAUGAUCACGUAUAGAAAGUGCCAAAGAGAGUGAUAACUUAGAAGGUAGAGUUGAUAUGAAGUACAAAGGCUACGCUACCACACACUAGAAGACGGCAUAACUCGGAGUAAACAAGAUAUUAUCGUCGCUGCACAAAAUCGGUUCGAGAUGGUCAAAUUAUGCUCUACGUGGUUUAUGAACAGCCCCUUAAAUAUUUAAAUGUGCAUUUAUCGGGUUCUUCUAUCACUCGAGGAGGAAUAUAGCCUUGGCAAUCGGGGUGGUUGCAUACUUUCAGAUCAUUUCUGGCACAAGACAGGCAGAUCGAUCCCUAGCACGGACAUCAAAAUGCAGCCGUCUUGCAUUAAAAGCUGAUUCGUGCUGGCCCCAUUGGGAUUAGUUUUCCUAGACAAAAACAAGAUAUGAAAACAGCUGUCAACUAAACGGCGAACUGUCAACUAAAAUACAAUUCCAGGACGACUGAUGGACCCAAACCAAUAAAUAAAACCUCGUCAUCCUGUGUUCAGAAGAUAUUAUUCCUCUAGAUAACAGGGCUGUUGGCCUACCCCAUUAGGCCAGCGCGCACAUCUAUCACCGCAGUAUUCUCUGCCAAACGAACGGUGUGAUGGAUGACAUAGGAGUGACAGGUAUACGGCCUGUCACCGGGUGAGUGAAGGAUAUAGAUAAAUUGCAUUGUCACUGCUUGAUUAUAUCUAAACAAGUAAGCUUAAUUCUAGUGUAAUUUACAUUGAAAUCAUUCCUUAAACUAGUGAACUAUAACAAAAAUUAUACUAUUUGGUACAUGCACCUAAUACUGGAAACCUAAACUGCUGUACUUCCAUCCCGUGUCACCCAGAGCAAUCUAUGAUCUACCGAUUCGGAACUACUGCUAAGCUCACCUUUGAUCAAGAAUUAUACGACACAUUAAGGGAAAACUAAACGUAAGUAAGCUCAAACCAUACAUUAUGCAUACACUGAUCUACAGGGGUCUAUCAACCCGCUGUCACGUAGCAGAAACACUAUAGAUGAUUCAUUGUAAUUGUAAG
Molecule: long non-coding RNA, 1178 nt
Organism: Aedes albopictus (Asian tiger mosquito)
Lineage: Eukaryota; Metazoa; Arthropoda; Insecta; Diptera; Culicidae
Exons: 3
Source: RefSeq, a predicted model, not a curated record